UACUCUCGUGUUACCUGGUUAUAUUUAAUGAAGAAUCAUUCUGAGUUGUUUUCUAUUUUUUGUGCCUUUUGUAAUGAAAUCAAAACUCAAUUUAAUAUUUCUGUGCGCAUAUUAAGAAGUGACAAUGCCAAAGAAUACUUUUCAGUACAAUUUCAGUUUUAUAUGACACAAAAUGAUAUUCUUUAUCAGUCUUCCUGUGUAGAUAUCCUAUCCCAAAAUGGCGUGGCCAAAAGAAAAAAUUGGCAUCUUCUUGAGGUUACUAAAUUGGAUCCAAAGUCUCUCAAUUGUGUCUUCCUUGGGUACUCCCGACUGCAAAAAGGACCUACUUGACCUCCCGUUGUUCAUGUUUAUUUCGGGAGAUUGGAGAUUCCUGACUCAGAUCCUCCACCAGCUACUUCGUUGGGAGAUCCUGUACCUCAUACUGAUCAUGAUUCUGAUCUAGACUUACCCAUUGCUUUUCGUAAAGGUAAACGUUUAUGUACUUACCCUAUCUUUUCUUUUAUUUCUUAUAAUCAAUUGUCUUCUUGUUCUCGGUGUUUUGUUACUUCUUUAGACUCUGUUCCUAUCCCUAAUACUGUUGGUGAGGCAUUGUCUUGUUAUGGAAAGUCAAUCACUAUAUUAUGGAAAGUCAAUCACUAUAUUAUUUCUCUGUAUAUUUUGUAUUCUGUAUUCCUAUUUAGGAUUUCUUAUUUAGGAUUUCUUCCUAAUUAGUAGAACACAAUUAUAGGAAUCAAUUGUAUAUAUAUACGCAUGUACAGAUUAAUUGAAAUCAAUGAGAAUCAUCUCUUUCUACAUGGUAUCAGAGCAGGUCAUCAAUCUAGGGUGACUAUUUGUUCUCACUACCCAGCUCAGGAGAGACC
Molecule: long non-coding RNA, 860 nt
Organism: Hevea brasiliensis (rubber tree)
Lineage: Eukaryota; Viridiplantae; Streptophyta; Magnoliopsida; Malpighiales; Euphorbiaceae
Exons: 3
Source: RefSeq, a predicted model, not a curated record